Molecule: long non-coding RNA, 816 nt
Filed under: Ananas comosus (pineapple)
Lineage: Eukaryota; Viridiplantae; Streptophyta; Magnoliopsida; Poales; Bromeliaceae
Description: long non-coding RNA (ACOM_LNC004780)
Source: RNAcentral
AUGGUCUAUAAUAUAUUUUGAAAUAUGAUAAAGAGAAAUCAUUAUUUCGGAUUCUGAUUUUCGGGUUCGAAUUUAGGUUCGAUUUUGGAUUUUUAGUCGGGUUCGGAUAUGGGUAUGAAUUUUUAAAACCAGCCGGGUUCGGAUUAGGAUCCGAGUCCUGAUUUUAAUUUGAUUUUCGAGUUCAGAUUUGAAUUUUCGAAAAUUCGAUCCAAAUCCGAACUGUUGACAUCCCUAGUUCUACCCAUUAAGUGGAACGAGUUAUUCUCUAUCUUAUUUCUCUACUAAUUAAGUUAUAAAUAAAAAUAUUAUAAAUUAUAAUUAAAUUAAUGCAAUUAAAUUUUUUAAUAAUUGACUAAUUAAUUAUUUAAAUUAUUGAAUUAAUAAAUAUUUAAAUAAUAAUUUAUUUAUAAUUUAUUAUUAUUUAUCUAAUUAAAUAGCUAGCCAUGUGAUAUGCUUAUUCAAUCAUUAACUAAUAUUUACACUAUUUAAAUAAUUAGUAUUUUAAUUUAUAUAAUUAAUAUAUUAACUAAAAAUAUAAAUGAUUAAAUAAUUAAUUAAUAUUCAUAUUGACUUAUUUUUUGUAGUUAUUUACUAAUUAAUGUCAUCUUUGUCAUCUCAUAUAAUAAUUUUAAUUAAUUUAUUUAUUAACUUAUAAAUUAUUUUUUCAAUCAUAAUAGCUCUUAUCCCUACUAUUCCAAUCUAAUCAACUAAACAUAAUUUUUCUUAUUCCUCUAAAUAUCUUGAUUCUUGUCCAAAUACAAAAUUAAAUUAAUUCCAAUCUAUCCAGUUAUACCUAUUCUACAAUUAAAUAAAAAU